AACUAAUUUGUUCUGACUCAGUCUAUUCAGCCCAUUCGAAAGAAACCUCACUCCAUCUCAUUCUCCUCUGACCUUUCUCUCUAUCGUGCUCUUCUCUGAUUAUUAGGGUUCCACUACUCUGAUUUCAGAGAACUUAUGAAGUCUCAAUUCAGUAAUCUCUUCGAGAUUAAGGUCGAAUGAUUUACUGAUUUCAGAGAUCUCAAAUCCAAAAUCAAGCCCUAAUCUCAAAUCCGAGAACUGACCUAGCAGCGCAGUUCUUCACCAUGAUUCGAUCUAUUAAUGGAAGUAAACUCGUUCCACCAUGAUUUCAUCUCAGUUGUUGCAUUAUAUUCUUCGAUCUAUCAAUAUUUUUUUGCUUCCUUUUUACCGUGAACCAUUUUCUUCUUCAAUCUUUUACUGUAAAUUCUCAUUGCUUUUGUUGUUUUUGCUGUGCAGGUGGAGAUUAAUAGGUUAAGUAAAGAGCUAAUUCGGUUGAAGGAUCAGAAGGUUUGGUGAUUUGAUUGUUGUUGUUGAGAUUUUGCUUGAAGAAAUAAAGAUGGAACUUGGGCAUUAUUCAGAUUUGAUAAUAUGGGUUCUGAAUGAAUAAUAGAGCUUGUUCUUGGACCCGAGAUGGAAAUGACUGUGGUGGUUACGGUGAAUCUGAGUUUUAGAUUCAGAGAAGAUGGAGGUUCACAUUGAAAUCUGUUUGUAGCUUUUGUGGGGUAUUAAGGUGCAGACUGUAUUGGCUUCUUUCGAGAAUUCAGUGAGUACAUGCUAGAAAGGGCAACAUGACAACUGGUUUUAGCGGGAAGAUAUUAGCUGAGAAGCUUUCUCAGCUCAACAAUUCACAGGGAAGCAUUGAAUGUAUCCCUUGAGACUCUUCUCACAUCCAAAUUAACUGAUGUAAUAAUUUCAACAGUUUGAUGUCUUACAAAUGACUAGUUUGUUUGUGAUCCUAACUGUUAGGAACAUCGAUUCUGAAUAGCAAUAUUUUUAACUAAGGAGAUGGUUUUAAAGAAUGUGUUUUUUUAGUCGGUAGAUUGGUUGUCUUUUUUUUUUCUUUUUUUGGGCAAACUCCCAGGGGAGGAUUUUACUUAAAAAAUGAGAUAGAAAAACAGAAAUAGGAGGAUUAGAGUUUGAUCAAAACCGUAGUAAAAGAAAAUAGGUUGGUCUAGUUGGAUCUAAUUACUGAGCCUGUGUUUGAUCUCUCUUCUUCUUCUUCUCUCGUUUAGCUGUUUUUGGAGUAUAUAUUGGAAUUUCUAGGGUAUGAAUCUGAAACUCUUCGCAUCUGCAUUUUAGCCUUUAUCCUUCAAGUUUGAUUCUCGUGCCUAUAUGCAUUGCCGAUUAUUAUUUAUAGCGAAUAUUUUAUUAACUUCUGGUCAGCAUUACCAAGUUGGUGUAUUUUUCAUCGGAAAAAAGCGAAGCAAGUUCUUGAAACAUGGGAUAAGCUGUUUAAAAGUCAAAAAGAAAAACGUGUUACAUUUUUAUACUUGGCAAAUGAUAUUUUGAAAAUUGGUAAACGGAAAGGAAGUGAGUAUGUGAAUGAAUUUUGAAGAGUCCUACCUGCAGCUGUUAAGGAGGUACUUGAGAAUGGUGACGAAAAUGGAAGGAAAGCAGCCACCAGGCUUGUCAGUGAAUUUUCUUUCCCUUUUUUUUUGAUAUCAGGUACGGUCGUGGUUGCGGAUGGAAGGGCAGGGUUGUUACGAACCCGUUUUACGAACCCACAAGCCUUUUCCCGUGGAGUUAGAACCUGGAAUUUUGGGAAAUAUUUUUGACAAAUUGGAAGCAUCAUACAGCUUAACUAUAAAUGGAGCAUAAGGAAGAAGAGUCUGUCGAAGAUGAGGCGCUUGUGAUAAUAAUAUGGGAAGCAAUUGGAUGGCUAGGUGUUUUAACUCUUUGGAUUUCCGUUCUUUCUGGAUACCUGGUCAAUGCGAUAGAGGUAUCAUAUACGACCCUGUACCGGGCCUCUAUUAUCAUGCGACUCAUUUAGUACUGGUACGCGUAUGGGUGUUAUAAACAUACUCAAUCCUAUUAAGCUGAUUUAAAUGUUUUCAUUGUUUUAACAACAACAACGUGACCUUUUAUAUACUUAAAAACUAUAAAAUACACUCAAUUAGGUAGCACAUUUCCUUAACUCACUUGAAUGCAUCCUAAUGCUGCCUUAUUAAGUUUUAAUUCCAUUUGGUUGCACAUUGGAAUCAGCAAAAAACUUACAGAUGUCAUGCAGCAAAAAUGUCACUGAUGCAACUCUUUCUAUCUCAGGUUGCUUGUGGCAUUGUGGACAUAGUUAAAGGAGAUGCUGAUAAUCAGUCAAAUGUCCUGCAGUACGUCAAAGAAUUGUAAAAAAAAAAGAGUAAGUAACAUAGUUAAAGGACUGGAGUCCUCUAUAACUUGUGUGAAUGGUUGAUUUGUUGUUUGCUGCAGAUAUUAAGCGGCUUCAUGCUGGGAAAAGUGGAAGACUAUCUCCAACUGUUAGUGGAUAGCUAAUUUUCAGUUAGCCAUAGAAAGCUUAAAACCACACCACUCCUACAGUGGAUGUUCUUUGUGCAAAUUCUCUAGAUAUACUUGAGAAUCAUCUCUGAUCAAAGCUUAAAUCUAAUACAUAAAAGAUUAACCUGAAUGUAUCUUUUCCCGCAGCAACCGGAUUCCUGAAACUGCUUUGAUUGCAACAAGAAGCUAUACUUGUUUGAGCAUGAAUUGGAAAAGGAACAUACUGGGGAAGGUGUACAAGCAGCUGAAAGCUUUGUGGUCCUUGAAGGCUACAACUAGUUGGGAGGGAAUCUCGGAUUGAUAAAGUAUAGAUGAUUCCAUAUAGUUGGGAGUUAGGAAGGAAUCUCAGCUGGAAAAUGGACUAUGACACUCCCUCCCUGCUCACCCGUAUGUUUCUCUACUGAGGUUUCUUUAUUUGGCUGUUACUUGUCAUUAUUUGAAAAGCAAAACAAUUUAGGAAAUAACUCUAUGUUUGCUAUUAGUUACAUCCUUUCUCAUUUCUUAUAAACUAAAGAGUAAACCCAUG
This is a long non-coding RNA of Papaver somniferum (opium poppy), 2995 nucleotides long. RefSeq lists it as uncharacterized. The record is from RefSeq and is a predicted model, not a curated record. NCBI's taxonomy places the organism in Eukaryota, Viridiplantae, Streptophyta, Magnoliopsida, Ranunculales, Papaveraceae. The transcript is spliced from 7 exons.